RNAcentral lists this long non-coding RNA (713 nucleotides) under Homo sapiens (human). Its description in RNAcentral is "HSALNT0330744". Lineage: Eukaryota; Metazoa; Chordata; Mammalia; Primates; Hominidae. The record is from RNAcentral.
UGAGGCACAGAAAGCCCAAGCUCUUGCACAAGGAUCAGAAGGGGGUAUAACCAGAAUUUGUUUCUCAGCAUCCUGACCAACAAUUAUUUUACCUACUAAACAGGGAAGCCUUUCAAAUAUAAUCCAGGGUAUCCGCUUCAUUUUACAACUAAAGAAAUGAAGGCUGGGUAAGGAUAAAGGACUCACAAAGAUCGUGUGUUUAGUUUCUGCUGGUCUAGACAUCUGGGUUCCAAAAGAAGAAUGCAUCUCCCAGGAGACAUGACAAUGAUUCCAUUCAACAGGAAGUUGAGACUGCCACCUGAACACUUUGGGCUCCUCAUGCCUCUGAAUCAACGGGCAAAGAAGAGAGUUAUAGAUCCUAACCACCCAGGAGAAAUUCGGUGGCCACUACACAAACAGACUUUUCUGACUCUGCGGCCAGGUGUUUGUAUUUAACUCCACGGUGAGGAGACUCAUCUUCUGACGGACCUAACCUAUACCAUCAAGCUCCAGCACCACAAGCAAAGACAAAAACCUUGCGGAAACUAUUUAACUAACUCCCACAAUUGCAUAAGGUAUUGUUAUCAAAUACGAAAGGCUCCAAAUGGCUUUUAUUAUGCCCCGUUAGUGGUGAUACUGAUGGCUGUCCCACCGAUGGUGCUGCUACAAAUGACAGUCAAACAUCCACAAAAGCAAUCUUUCCAAUGUUACUCAAGUUUACUCAAGUUUACUUG